GUAACAUUGGCUUUACCUAUUGGCUUUAUUGUCAAGGUCAUCUCAUCGGAGGUUUGGAUGAAAGAUGUGGUUCGAAAUCUUACCGAGUGGUGUAAUUUUCACCGGACUGUUGUUGUCUUCACCUAUUGUACCCCCAAUCGUAGCAUGGAUCUUCCGCAAAGAUAGAAAGUAUACUCAGAGGUACUUUCAUGCAGAUGAAGUUGACUACAGGAUGUAUGUGCGCGACAUCUAUAAAUUUGGCUCUGUGUACAAACCAAAGGGUCUAGAGGCUCUGGAUGAAUAGGAUGUGACACUGAAGGCAGUCUCUGUGAUGUUUUGUGCAAACAUUUGUUUAAUAACUGGUUUUAUGGGAUGCAUAGAGAAGUGGCAUUAUUACAGGGUGGCAAAAUGAUACAAUUUUGACACUCCAUACAAGAAAUCACCCUGUAAAUGUGUUAAAAACCGACCGAUAUCUUUUUUAUUAAACUUGUCAUAUAACUUUUUGGAUGGAGAAAGAACAUCAGUACCGGCAUAUUUAUCAAAACUUUCAUUACAAAAGGACAUAACUUUGAAUGCCUUCUGAUUGAUCAUGGAGGCUGUCAGUGGAUUCUGUCAUAUCAUGACUGACAAUCCACAACUGAUGAAUUCACCAAGACCAGUUGACUUACUUUCUUUAGGCAUCGGCUCAGUAUUAAUUCAAAGGAAAACCUGAACUUGAAGACAAAAAGUUUGUUGUAUGAUAAAUAAAAUGGUACUAUUUAAUGAUGAA
Mizuhopecten yessoensis (Yesso scallop) is the source of this 748-nucleotide long non-coding RNA. RefSeq lists it as uncharacterized. The transcript is spliced from 3 exons. Lineage: Eukaryota; Metazoa; Mollusca; Bivalvia; Pectinida; Pectinidae. The record is from RefSeq and is a predicted model, not a curated record.